RNAcentral lists this microRNA (22 nucleotides) under Canis lupus familiaris (dog). Its description in RNAcentral is "Cfa-Novel-11_3p (mature (guide))". The record is from RNAcentral. Lineage: Eukaryota; Metazoa; Chordata; Mammalia; Carnivora; Canidae.
CCUCCUGGGUUUUCUUUGGCAG